This 582-nucleotide long non-coding RNA is filed under the name Chloebia gouldiae (Gouldian finch). RNAcentral's name for it is "Erythrura gouldiae (Gouldian finch) lncRNA (ENSEGOG00005009247.1)". Lineage: Eukaryota; Metazoa; Chordata; Aves; Passeriformes; Passeridae. The record is from RNAcentral.
CGGGGGUUAACACCAAGUGGGUGUGGCUAUGCAAAUCAGGGGGUGUGGUUGUUCCGGGGGUGUGGCUUGGGGUGGCCCCACCCCCUGAUGUGGUUCCCCCCCCCCCCCAGCCACGUCCAUCUUCGCUCUCAAGGAGAUCCAGCUGCAGAAGGAGCCGGGGCUGCGCUCGGCGGCCCUGCCCCCCACAGGUUCUUCCGCCUUUCGGGUGCUCGACACCGAAUUCUGACAUUGAGCAGCUCCGGGAUCGCUGCUGCGCCCCGGACCCCAAAACCGGCCCGGGGUCACCCCAAAAUCCUCCAAACCUUUGGGGACACCCCAAAAACUGCGGGGGGUGGGGUGAGGGGGGGUCCUUGGAUUGGUGACCCCUCCCCAAAAAAUCCCCGCCCCUCCCCCCCCCGAGGAACUGCUGCUGGAUUUUGGGGGGUUCACGCGGGACCCCCGUUCUGGGGGGGUCGGGGGGGGGGGGGAGGGGGGGCCCCCUUUUUUUGGGGUCUCCCCUCCAUUUUUGGGAUCUCCCCCAUUUUUGGGGGGGUUCCCCCCCCGGUUUACGUCGAGUUUUAUUUUUUCAAGGCAAUAUUCUAA